RNAcentral lists this ribosomal RNA (770 nucleotides) under uncultured Neocallimastigales. RNAcentral describes it as "partial large subunit ribosomal RNA". It matches the Rfam family "Eukaryotic large subunit ribosomal RNA", at positions 24 to 614 of the family's 3401-position model. Lineage: Eukaryota; Fungi; Neocallimastigomycota; Neocallimastigomycetes; Neocallimastigales. The record is from RNAcentral.
UACGACUACAUAUCAGGCAUAUCAAUAAGCGGAGGAAAAGAAACUAACUAGGAUUCCCUUAGUAACGGCGAGUGAAGCGGGAAGAGCUCAAAUUUGAAAUCUUCAAGGUUCUACCUUGACGAAUUGUAGUUUAAAGAAGUGUUUUCUGUUGGAGUUUUGGUAAAAGUUCUUUGGAAUAGGACAUCAUAGAGGGUGAGAAUCCCGUAUUUGACCAUUUCUUCCAGCUGUGUGAUACACUUUCAAAGAGUCGGAUUGUUUGGGAAUGCAGUCCAAAAUGGGUGGUAAAUUUCAUCUAAAGCUAAAUAUUGGCGAGAGACCGAUAGCGAACAAGUACCGUGAGGGAAAGAUGAAAAGAACUUUGAAAAGAGAGUUAAACAGUACGUGAAAUUGUCAAAAGGGAAGCGUUUGACACCAGUGUUGUUUUCUCGAAAAUCAAUUAAAAGUGGCCGGAUUUCGUGUUGUAUUGACUUUAUCAGCUUUCUGCACUUUUUUCAUGUUUAUUUUUAAUGCACUUUUCGUUUAACAAGUCAACAUCAAUUUCUUUUGUUGUAAAAGAGUCAUUGGAAGGUGGCUUUCGAGAAAGUGUUUAUAGCCUUUGACUCCUGCAAUCGGAGAGAUUGAGGUCUGCAGCGUAGAUCCUUCGGGGUUAGAUACAUUUGUGCUAAGUUAUAGUCUUUCAUAGACAACAUUGUUGACUAUGAUUUAAUCAUGUAGCUUACUCGCUUAUGUAUUUUACCUACGCUUAGGAUGUUGAACGCGCACAGAGUCUC